Molecule: long non-coding RNA, 215 nt
Organism: Lolium perenne
Lineage: Eukaryota; Viridiplantae; Streptophyta; Magnoliopsida; Poales; Poaceae
Source: RefSeq, a predicted model, not a curated record
UUCCACUCCUCCGGAUAGAUCAGGUUCUUCAUAGACCAACUCGUAGCCGCCUUCCGGUGCUCCGUCAAUGUUGCUGGCACCGAGGCUAUGAGUUGUGCUUGCAAAUUUUGUUAGGUGUGGUCGGUUACUCCCUUUGUCCAUUAAAGGAUGUUUCAAAUUUGAUCUAUACAAAAUAGUAUGUCUACAUAAAUGUAAAUUUAAACAAAGUUGAGACA